GCCGAUGUAGCUCAGUUGGUAGAGCAACGCAUUCGUAAUGCGUAGGUCCGCGGUUCGAGUCCGCGCAUCGGCACCA
This 76-nucleotide transfer RNA is filed under the name Rhodospirillales bacterium. RNAcentral describes it as "tRNA-Thr". It matches the Rfam family "tRNA". From Rfam's summary of the family: Transfer RNA (tRNA) molecules are approximately 80 nucleotides in length. Their secondary structure includes four short double-helical elements and three loops (D, anti-codon, and T loops). RNAcentral also lists the same sequence under 1 other name. Lineage: Bacteria; Pseudomonadati; Pseudomonadota; Alphaproteobacteria; Rhodospirillales. The record is from RNAcentral.